This 246-nucleotide long non-coding RNA is filed under the name Daucus carota (carrot). RNAcentral describes it as "long non-coding RNA (DCAR_LNC005323)". The record is from RNAcentral. Lineage: Eukaryota; Viridiplantae; Streptophyta; Magnoliopsida; Apiales; Apiaceae.
AGGGGUUCAAGCUGCUUAAUUAAGGUUAAAACAGAUUCAAUCUCAACUUAAAAAGGAAGAGUUUGUAGAAGAAAAUGACAAUAGUGACACAAGAAAAUAAUAGAUCAAGGAAGAACAAGAAUUCAAUCAGUGAUCCGCAGGAACCUUUGUUACCUACCAAGCAUGAGGAAGAUGUUGGUUUUGACGAGUUUAACGGGGCUUCGUUUACUGGAGCUGUUUUUAAUUUGUCCACCACUGUUGUUGGUG